RNAcentral lists this ribosomal RNA (403 nucleotides) under bacterium. RNAcentral describes it as "partial 16S ribosomal RNA". It matches the Rfam family "Bacterial small subunit ribosomal RNA", at positions 355 to 776 of the family's 1533-position model. The record is from RNAcentral.
UGGGGAAUAUUGCACAAUGGAGGGAACUCUGAUGCAGCGACGCCGCGUGAACGAAGAAGGCUUUCGAGUCGUAAAGUUCUUUUAUAUGGGAAGAUAAUGACGGUACCAUAAGAAGAAGCCCCGGCUAACUACGUGCCAGCAGCCGCGGUAAUACGUAGAGGGCUAGCGUUGUCCGGAAUCACUGGGCGUAAAGGGUUCGCAGGCGGAAAUGCAAGUCAGGUGUAAAAGGCAGUAGCUUAACUACUGUAAGCAUUUGAAACUGCAUAUCUUGAGAAGAGUAGAGGUAAGUGGAAUUUUUAGUGUAGCGGUGAAAUGCGUAGAUAUUAAAAAGAAUACCGGUGGCGAAGGCGACUUACUGGGCUCAUUCUGACGCUGAGGAACGAAAGCGUGGGUAGCAAACAGG